Molecule: ribosomal RNA, 369 nt
Filed under: uncultured eukaryote
Lineage: Eukaryota
Description: partial 18S ribosomal RNA
Rfam family: Eukaryotic small subunit ribosomal RNA
Source: RNAcentral
CAAUAGCGUAUAUUAAAGUUGUUGCAGUUAAAAAGCUCGUAGUUGGACCUUGGACCUGGACAGGCGGUCCGCCUCACGGCGAGUACUGUCUUGCUGGGUCUUUCCUCUUGGUGAUCUGUUGUUUCGGCAGCAGGGAACCAGGACCUUUACUUUGAAAAAAUUAGAGUGUUCAAAGCAGGCUCGACGCCGGAAUAUAUUAGCAUGGAAUAAUAAAAUAGGACGUGCGGUUCUAUUUUGUUGGUUUUUGGAAUCGCCGUAAUGAUUAAUAGGGACAGUCGGGGGCAUUAGUACUCACAUGCUAGAGGUGAAAUUCUUGGAUUUUGUGAAGACUAACUUCUGCGAAAGCAUUUGCCAAGGAUGUUUNCAUUG